ACUUAGUGGCGGACGGGUGAGUAACGCGUGGGUAACCUGCCCUGUACAGGGGGACAACAGCUGGAAACGGCUGCUAAUACCGCAUAAGCCCUUAGCACUGCAUGGUGCAUAGGGAAAAGGAGUAAUCCGGUACAGGAUGGACCCGCGUCUGAUUAGCCAGUUGGCAGGGUAACGGCCUACCAAAGCAACGAUCAGUAGCCGAUCUGAGAGGAUGUACGGCCACAUUGGGACUGAGACACGGCCCAGACUCCUACGGGAGGCAGCAGUGGGGAAUAUUGCACAAUGGAGGAAACUCUGAUGCAGCGACGCCGCGUGAGUGAAGAAGUAUUUCGGUAUGUAAAGCUCUAUCAGCAGGGAAGAAAAUGACGGUACCUGACUAAGAAGCACCGGCUAAAUACGUGCCAGCAGCCGCGGUAAUACGUAUGGUGCAAGCGUUAUCCGGAUUUACUGGGUGUAAAGGGAGCGUAGGUGGCAAGGCAAGCCAGAAGUGAAAACCCGGGGCUCAACCGCGGGAUUGCUUUUGGAACUGUCAUGCUAGAGUGCAGGAGGGGUGAGCGGAAUUCCUAGUGUAGCGGUGAAAUGCGUAGAUAUUAGGAGGAACACCGGAGGCGAAGGCGGCUC
This 621-nucleotide ribosomal RNA is filed under the name uncultured Lachnospiraceae bacterium. Its description in RNAcentral is "bacterial SSU rRNA". It matches the Rfam family "Bacterial small subunit ribosomal RNA", at positions 90 to 727 of the family's 1533-position model. The record is from RNAcentral. Lineage: Bacteria; Bacillati; Bacillota; Clostridia; Lachnospirales; Lachnospiraceae.